This 372-nucleotide long non-coding RNA is filed under the name Mus spicilegus (steppe mouse). RNAcentral's name for it is "lncRNA (ENSMSIG00000000064.1)". Lineage: Eukaryota; Metazoa; Chordata; Mammalia; Rodentia; Muridae. The record is from RNAcentral.
ACCAUUUGUAAAAAUCUCCCAGGUGACAUAAUAACCAAUGGUAGAAAACAGCUUUCCUCAGACUUGAACAGCCAGGGACAUGCACUCUCAGCUCUCCCUUUCACCUCAAGGCUGGAAGAGGAUUCAAUGACUGUAAAGAAAUGAAACACAUCUAAGUAAGAAGUCAAUUGUUCCUUGUGCUGUGCUCUCCUGGGGUCAGGAUGACUAUGUCUGAGAUCUGAGGACAAUGUGCUCUUCUGUGGUCUUAGAAACAGGAACACGGCUUUGCUGAAAAUCCUAUCAGACUUUGAAUCUGCCCUUUUCAUCUUAAGGAAACACAUAGACAUACUUUUUAAUGUCACUGAUACGGAAGGACAUUGAAUUCUAGCACCC